AUUGGCACUGGGCGAAAGGGCGCGUGAUGAAGGGAAUUCCGAUGACGUUGGUGGCGGAAUCGUGAGUCCCUGGCCAUAUGAUUUGGUUCACGCGUGUUCUUUCGGAGCCGAGAUUUGACAUCCAGUUCUUUCUAUCCGGUGGCCGGUAAUCGGAACCCGGAAAAUCCUGGCCGGCGUUCUGCCGGAGGUCCUCCAGAGCUUUCUUCUCCGUGCGAAUGGAUUUCCGUCGUUCGACCUGUUUCGAUACCUGGGAACCCAUUUUCCGAACCACCGAUGAAUCCUUGUUCUUCGAGACAGAGAU
RNAcentral lists this unclassified non-coding RNA (301 nucleotides) under Hevea brasiliensis (rubber tree). Lineage: Eukaryota; Viridiplantae; Streptophyta; Magnoliopsida; Malpighiales; Euphorbiaceae. The record is from RNAcentral.